This 429-nucleotide ribosomal RNA is filed under the name Chloroflexota bacterium. RNAcentral describes it as "Chloroflexi bacterium partial 16S ribosomal RNA". It matches the Rfam family "Bacterial small subunit ribosomal RNA", at positions 355 to 776 of the family's 1533-position model. Lineage: Bacteria; Bacillati; Chloroflexota. The record is from RNAcentral.
UGGGGAAUCUUGCACACUGGGCGCAAGCCUGAUGCAGCCAUGCCGCGUGUGUGAAGAAGGCCUUCGGGUUGUAAAGCACUUUCAGCGGGGAGGAAGGCGUUAAGGUUAAUAACCUUGGCGAUUGACGUUACCCGCAGAAGAAGCACCGGCUAACUCCGUGCCAGCAGCCGCGGUAAUACGGAGGGUGCAAGCGUUAAUCGGAAUUACUGGGCGUAAAGCGCACGCAGGCGGUCUGUCAAGUCGGGUGUGAAAGCCCCGGGCUCAACCUGGGAACUGCAUUCGAAACGGGCAAGGUAGAGUCUUGUAGAGGGAGGUAGAAUUCCAGGUGGAACAGUGAAAUGCGUGGAGAUCUGGUGGGAUACCGGUGGCGAAGGCGGCCCCCUGGACAAAGAAAGGCACUAAGGUGCGAAAGCGUGGGGAGCAAACAGG